AGUAUACGUGUUCACCUGCUACAGAAUAUGACUCAUCUCUUUAUUUAGUAGCCUAUAUAAAGGCACCAUCGAUACUUUAUUCAAAUAACUGAUUCCAGGCAGAUUGAAAGAGUUAUUUCAAAGCUAAAGAUCAAGAUGAGUAUCAUAGUUACAGCUAUUGUGUUUUCUCUGUGUCUUGUGAGUUUCAGUUAUGGUAAGAAAUUCGAAGAUUUGGACACAAAUAAUGACAAUAAAUUGACAUACGAUGAAUUUGAACCUUUUUUCGGAGUGUUUGACUUGGAUGGUAACAGUGAAGUUACCCUGGCGGAGCUUAUAAAGGAAUCCGGAUUGGAAAAAGCUAAAGCCGAAGCUGUAUUUAAAGUAUACGACAAAAAUGGAGACGGAAAAGUUGAUAAAAAUGAAUUAAAAAGUCGUUUCAAUGAAUUUGAUGCUAAUGGCGAUGGGUCAAUAUCUUCAACUGAAUACUAUGCAGAGCUAACAGACUAUAUUUUAACAAGACUUAAUUAAAGAUUCAUUAUGUACGAUUUCGAUAAAAAGCUGACCAGGUCUCGCUAUAAUAGUUUUAAAAUGGA
This is a long non-coding RNA of Patella vulgata (common limpet), 572 nucleotides long. RefSeq lists it as uncharacterized. The transcript is spliced from 6 exons. Lineage: Eukaryota; Metazoa; Mollusca; Gastropoda; Patellidae. The record is from RefSeq and is a predicted model, not a curated record.